ACAAUCGACUCACAGGACAUGGACAACAGGACUUCCCGUUCGCUCAGUCAUACUUAAGCCAUGUGCCGGCCGGUUAGUAGUUGGGUGGGUGACCACCAGCGAAUACCUGCUGUUGAUUGUU
Molecule: ribosomal RNA, 121 nt
Filed under: Endocarpon pusillum Z07020
Lineage: Eukaryota; Fungi; Ascomycota; Eurotiomycetes; Verrucariales; Verrucariaceae
Source: RNAcentral